AUUGAACGCUGGCGGCAGGCCUAACACAUGCAAGUCGAGCGGUGCGGCGGACGGGUGAGUAAUGCCUAGGAAUCUGCCUGGUCGUGGGGGAUAACGUCCGGAAACGGGCGCUCAUACCGCAUACUAUCAGAUGAGGCUGCGUCGGAUUAGCUAGUUGGUGGGGUAAAGGCCUACCAAGGCGACGAUCCGUAACAGGUCUGAGAGGAUGAUCAGCCACACUGGGACUGAGACACGGUCCAGACUCCUACGGGAGGCAGCAGUGGGGAAUAUUGGACAAUGGGCGAAAGCCUGAUCCAGCCAUGCCGCGUGUGUGAAGAAGGUCUUCGGAUUGUAAAGCACUUUAAGUGGGGAAGCGGUACCAACAGAAUAAGCACCGGCUAACUUCGUGCCAGCAGCCGCGGUAAUAC
Molecule: ribosomal RNA, 407 nt
Filed under: uncultured bacterium
Lineage: Bacteria
Description: partial 16S ribosomal RNA
Rfam family: Bacterial small subunit ribosomal RNA
Source: RNAcentral